UUUUCCAGGUCCAAAAUGUGGACUGGAUGAGAGGAAAAGACCGGUGGACUCUGUGGAAAGGCUGAUGCGAAAGCAGACAGGAGUACCGCACACCCAACGAACGCGUGACCAAGAACGCAGUCAGCUACGCUCAUUCCUGGGUUCUGUCUGGAAAGAGCUGCCGGGAUGCCUCUGAGUGUUUAAUGAAACUUGAAUCUGUGAAGCUGGAGAAGAAGGUGAUCCUCCAUGGCCAAGAGUCCAAAUGCUACUCUGUUGAACCCGUGCUGCGCUGCCUGGCCGGCUGCAUUCCUGUGAGGACAA
Molecule: long non-coding RNA, 300 nt
Organism: Etheostoma spectabile (orangethroat darter)
Lineage: Eukaryota; Metazoa; Chordata; Actinopteri; Perciformes; Percidae
Exons: 2
Source: RefSeq, a predicted model, not a curated record